GACGAACGCUGGCGGCGUGCUUAACACAUGCAAGUCGAGCGGUAAGGCCCUUUCGGGGGUACACGAGCGGCGAACGGGUGAGUAACACGUGGGUGACCUGCCCUUAGCUCUGGGAUAAGCCUGGGAAACUGGGUCUAAUACCGGAUAUGACUCCAUGACGCAUGUUGUGGGGUGGAAAGCCUUGUGCGGCUAGGGAUGGGCCUGCGGCCUAUCAGCUUGUUGGUGGGGUGANGGCCUACCAAGGCGACGACGGGUAGCCGGCCUGAGAGGCGACCGGCCACACUGGGACUGAGACACGGCCCAGACUCCUACGGGAGGCAGCAGUGGGGAAUCUUGCGCAAUGGGCGAAAGCCUGACGCAGCGACGCCGCGUGGGGAUGACGGCCU
RNAcentral lists this ribosomal RNA (386 nucleotides) under uncultured bacterium. Its description in RNAcentral is "bacterial SSU rRNA". It matches the Rfam family "Bacterial small subunit ribosomal RNA", at positions 28 to 417 of the family's 1533-position model. The record is from RNAcentral.